This 5934-nucleotide long non-coding RNA is filed under the name Sus scrofa (pig). Its description in RNAcentral is "lncRNA (ENSSSCG00065015448.1)". The record is from RNAcentral. Lineage: Eukaryota; Metazoa; Chordata; Mammalia; Artiodactyla; Suidae.
GGUGCUGGGAAAAUAGAUACCUGUGCUGGGGACGGCUGAAGCAGCAAGCUCUUCCAGGGUGAAAAAAUAGAGAGACUCUGGCAAAUAGUAACCAUGAGGCCUGCUGGGACCCCAGAGAGUGAGGGCACACACCCUUUUAUGGAAGUAUUUCUGGAAAGAGCUGCCUGUCGGCUGUUGUGAACACAGAUGUGAAAGCGCACGUCGGUGGGUCUCAAACUGUCCUUCCGUUAGAGCGAAGCCUUCGUCCCCUCGGUAUUUCAGAGAGGUUAUAUAAUUAGCUCUGUUCCCGAGAAAUGGUCGAAUCGCCUCCCACUGGAAGAGUAAUGUGAGGAUGAAAAGGAAAACCGUUUACUACAUGGUACUGUAUGGGGGUGGGUGCCUGUGAGAAGGGUUCACCUCUGCUCUGACCUGGUAGCAUCGGCACCCUCUCCCCUGUCCCCUCCCCGGCCAGGUGAGCCCUCCUGUGCUGCAGGCAGGAGGCACUCAGAACAGUGUCGUGUGCUCGGGGGCCCGUGGAUUUAGCCUUGGGUCUGAUUGCCCCGGAGAUGAACGUGACCCGUUUCUUGUUGGUAAAAUCGAAUGCAGCCAGAGAAGGCUGCUGGUGAUUCAGGAGACGCAGUUAAAAUCCAGGUGUAGAAAAUGAUGCUCAUCUAAUGAAACACAGGAGCAGUACUUUGUCCUGGGAAAGAAAGGGUGGGAAAGAGCCAUUUUGCACGGUUUUGUUUUCUUGUUUGUCCUCUGGACAGGGCACAGGUCCCGUUGUCUAAGGACACCUCUGGGGUGGUUUCCUAGGAGUAAGUUCUGAAUUUGUAAAUCCCAUCUUUGAGAUACGCUGCUUUUAAUGUGAAUGGAAACAGAGGUCCCCUUUUUUAAAGCGGAAAAUAAGCGCCAGACUGACCUGUUAGCAGACACAGCUCUGCAGCCGCCCAUGGCACCCUCUGCCAGGAUGCUUCUCAUCCUCGUUAGAGGCGGAAGCGGGGAGCCUUUGACAUCUCCAGCCCAGAAACUGACUGCAGAGGGAGUGGAGGGGCGCCAAGCGUGACGGCCGGGCCUCGCUAAGACCUUUGCUGAGCUUCUUUAACGCUGCUUUUCCAGAGACCCACGGCCUGAAUACAGAAUGCAGAGUGUCAAAGAUGACACCUACUUGAUAGUCUCUGUAAAGCCAACCUUUUCCUAAAAGAAAUUUUUGACAGUUCUGAGAUGCUAAGUCAAUUUCAAUACCAGACUGUGUGGAAAAUGGAAUCCUUUUUUCUGCAAUUGAUGUGAAAAUUGAAGGCUAGCGACUACUCACUCCUUACUAACACACGGGGCAAAUAAAUAGCAUCAUGCUAUUGAGAAAAAUGCACUGGAAGACAAGCUUGGCUAAUGACAUUUACCACAACAUAGAUGGGAACUAUUCUUUCUGAAUGUUUUUAUUUGUUACCAUUAGAGGCUCUGUAUCUUUUUUACCUUAAAUAUAAUGGGUCAAGUACAUGUCAUUCCUAGAUGUAUUUUUAUCAAGCCACAAAGUAUUAUAUAAAAGUAAUUGUUUGAUUCUUUCCAACGGUCUUUGAAAGAAUUCACUGGGGAAGUGACCUCUUACAUAAUUGAAUGUUGGAGAGUUUUCUUCUGACCUAUGUUUAAUAAUAGCCGGUUUAGAAACAAAAGACUAAAAUUGGAUUAGGUUUCAUAUCAUUGUGAAAUAGCUAUGUCUCCUUAACCUUUUGACUUAACAUUUUUUUUUUUUUAGGAUGAAUGAGCCACCCAUGCUUAAGCUCAGGCCAAGCCCCAGACCAUCUGGUUCUCUUGCUUAUGCUGGGAUAUUAUUGCUCCAACAAUUCUUUCUUCUCUCUCCUGCACCACGAUGGUGGUCUUUCCCCACGAGAUCAUCCACCCUGCCCCACACCCGCCUUAGAGAAACGUCACCCCACCUGCCCUUCCAACUGCCACCUUUUACCCAUCAGAGCAAUCCCUGGGAUGCAUCUGGCUUUGCUGCUUCCAUUUUUCCUGUUCUCUUGCACACUGCCAUCCAUGAAGCCUUCAUGCCCUCGGCUCCGCAGCGCCCGUUCUCAUCGGGACCACCAGCUGCAUCCUCCUGGCGCAUCGCGCCCUCUGCCUGGGCUGCGGCAGCGCUUGGACGUCACCCCGCGCUUGUCCGCGAUCGCCCUGCCCCCUCCAUGGCUUCCUCCUUUGCCAAAUCUGGCCACGCCCGGCUUCUAGAAAUCCGAGUGCCCAAAGCUCAGGCCUCAAGCCCCUUCUCUUUUCUCUUCUCUGUGACACGGGAUGUUUACAUUCUUAGGAAGCGGAGCCUCGGGACUCGAAAGUCGGUCUGCGGGCAGAGGACACUCGAAUCACCCCCAUCCCCGGGCAGCUCCCUUGAACUCUAGCUCUGUAGAAGCUGCGUCAUCUCACGUCCCUUGAAUGCCGACCAGCUGUCUGACCCCAACGUGCUCCCCUCGUGGCUCACGUGCUCCUCCCGACUGUUCCCCUGUCUUCCUUUCUCACGAGGGGUCGCUCUGGCUUUUUCAGUGGUUAAGGUCCACAAGCCUGGGCUAACCCUUGAUGCCUGUUUUUUCCUUACAGUCCACGUCUAAUCUGUUAUGUAGAGAAGCAAAGGCCCAUUUGAUCCGUUUUGGACCCGUAUCUGUCAUCCUGGUGCUUGUCAGCGCCCCCACCCCCACCUGGGUUGGCGGCAGUUGUCCCCCCAUCACGUCCCCUCCUCCACUCUCACUUCUGCACUGUAUAGUCUGGACCCCACAGCUGGAGGUCAGGGCCUGGCCCUCCUCUCCACCCCUGGCAGCUUGGCGGGUCUUGCAGGGUCGAUGCCGAAAUCCUUGUCGCUCCUUCCUAUUUUCUCCUUCUUCCCACUUCACUCCGAGCCCCCGGCCUCUCUUCCCACAACUGCCAGGCCCAGUCAAACCUUUGACCUCGUCCAUCCCCUGCUGGCGUCCUCUUUCUCACAUCGCAGGCGAAUUCACCCUUGGACCUUUAAUAUCUUAACUCAAGCAUCCCCUUUCCAGGAGGCCUGGCCAGCAGCGCCCCCAACUUGCUCUCCUAUGGGGCACUUCCCGCCCCGCCUUUUGGCAUUCCUUUUUUCUUUUGCACCUGCCACCCCCUAACAUAUGCUCUAUCCUGCUUACUUGGUUUCAUAAGAAGGUGACAGUGGGAGGCUCUGGUAACCCUUUAACUUGCUAUAUUGCAGAUUGCCUGGGGCAUCAUCGGUGCCCAGUGACUGUGAUAGGCUGGCAUGCCUGGCCGCCCCCAGGGCACCCCCAGCUCCACUGUGCAAGGCUGCCCGCGGUGCCCUGCACACCUCCCAAGCAGAGUUUCUUCAGCUUCCAUCAGACCACUGCCCUGAACCCUUGUCUCCUGAUCUGCUUCUGGCAAAACCCAGACUCAGAUAAGGGGUCUGUUGCAUGAACAGAUAUACAAGUAAAUAAAAUUGCCAGAGUGAGAGGCAACAGUGCAGGUGAGGAAUUUCUUCCUGGAGUCUUUUGGUGGUUUAUGAGCAGUGACCGCACCAGGGCAGGGCUGGUGCUUGUUCUCGCCUUUGGGAGAUGAUGUCACUUCUGAGUCGCCUGUGACUGAAGAGCUGGUCCCCAGAGAGCAAGCCUUUUCAUGCUCCUAGAGCUGCAUCGUGUUCUUCGGCCUUCUGGGGAGGUGACCAUUUUCCCUGCUCCCAGUAGCCGUCAUUGAUUUAAGUAUUUUCUAUUACAUCAGACUUGCAAACAAGAGAGGACUUGACUUCCAAGUUAAAUCUCUCACGUCAGGCAGGCCCCGACCUUCAGGCCAGGGGUUGUGCAGUUGAGAGGUCAUCAAUGCAAACAAGGAAUGCACGUUAGCAUCGCCCUAUUCAUGUCUUCCUGCACCUCAAAAGUCAGGCUCUAGUUGAUUCUGUCCCUUGAAGAAGGUAGAACCUUGGUUUUACUCUUCACAAUUCUCUGAACGCCCUGGUCCCUGGCCUCCCGCUUCUGGAGGCCACGCCCCCCAGGGCUUAGUUUACAGACAGCCUCACCCCUAGGUGGCGCUCUGGAGCUUCCCCCUUUUCCCUCCCAGCUCCAGGGGGCUGGGAUGGUCCUGGCUCUUCAGUGAGGACCAGGCUGGGAGCAGCUCACCUCCUUCGUUUCUCCUGCUGCAACGUCUGUAACGUCUGCAAUAUAACUUACCUUUCUUCUAGACUGGAAACAUCAUCUUCUCUCUCUCUCUCUCUCUCUCUCUCUCUCUCUCUCUCCCACACACACACAUGAUGAUCUUUGGAUUUAUGUAACAAUUCCAGUCCUUCACAAGAAAGAAACUAAAGAAACAACUUCUUAUUCUCUGUCCACACCAAGGAACAGAGACCUUGAAAUGAACGGAACUGAUACAAACUGCCUGGAACGUAUCCCUGCUUUCUGUACCAAGCUCCCUCCCGUCUCUGCCCUUCCAGUGAAGGCAGAGGGCUGUCCAUCCGAAACUACUUCUUGGCCCUGCUUUGAUUUGGGGGGUGACAGGGUGGUCGUUAUGACCUGUCCAGGGAGAAGAGCCUCCGCAGGGAGCCCGCGUCCCCUGUCGGUGAGCUGUCCCAGAGCGGUAUUCUCAGUAACCCUUUAACCUCAUCAUCUACCCUGCAGGCAGGUGCUCUUAGCCCCAUUUUAUGGAUGAAGAAACGGAACACACAGGUGGGAGAGGUGAGCUAGGUCCUGAGCCACACAAGUGGGUGAGGGUAGAGUCACUGUGUCUGGACGCCAGUCCCCCUCCAGGGCCACAGUCCUACCCUCUGCUGGGCCACCUGGGCCUCCUCGGCCUCUUCUCGUGGAUUCUGCAGCCCCCGGCCUGUGUGGGAGCCGAGAGGUCCAUGGAGGUCAUCGCCUGCCGUGGCUGCUGUGUGCUCUGGGGAUGUGGAACUGAGUACCUUUGGGACCUGGCUUUUGUCCCCGUUUGAUUGCUGCUGCUGCCUGUCUGUGGUCCUUUCUCUCCCCAACAUAACUCUUAAAGGCUCAGGAAUUUUGUUAAAAACUUACCCACCGCCACAUCCCCUUGUCCACAGCUGACCCUCAAAGCUGUCUGUACCGUGCGUGGUACAGACACACCAGGGACGGUGAUCUUCGAAGGGCCAGCUCUCUGCCCGCUGGCCUCUCUCAGGGCAGCCCCAUGGUCCUGCGAGGGCUCAGACCGCUUCCUGGUUCCACAUCUCAUUUUUCCCUUCCCUUGCGACACACCUUGUACCUCCGAUCUGGCUCCGCCGCUGCUGUUUCAUGGAUUUCCUCCUAUCGAAACCAUCGUGAGGCCGUUCUUCCUUUCCUGAGAGUAGGUUCACAGCCUCCACGUCCUUUGCCAGCCCUCUGGUGUUCCCUGGAGCCCGGCUGGCUCUCCCACGCCCCACCCCUGCCGCCCAGCCCCGCACCUGCCUGGUCCUGGGAUGUGCUCCGCGCCCGGCCCCGCCCUGGCAGGCUGUUCCAGCUCUGGGUCUGGGAUCCUCGUCUCUGGCCUUGGCAGCUUCCCACAGCUGCUUGCAGGGAAAUAAUUAAUCAAACUCCUGCCUUUAUCACUGAUUUUAGCCCCUCAAGAUGCUUUCUAGAAUUUCAGGUUUCUUUUCUUUCCUUUUUAUCUCCUUUUUUUAGAAUAGAUGGCUGAAAACAUUUGAAGUUGAGAAAAUGAUAGCAUUCACUUAAUGGAUCUCAGCAGACGAUGAUUCUGGAACAGGUUUAAGAAAGUAAAGCCACUGUCGCUAGGUUCUGUAACGGGGUGGCGGUUCCCCUUCGGUGUCUUGCUAGACCCUCGCAACUGCUGCUCGGCAGUGGCAAAGGUGGAUGAUCACUGGUGUAGAAAACUGUCCUUUGCGGAGUUCCUGUCGUGGCGCAGUGGUUAACGAAUCCGACUAGGAACCAUGAGGUUGCGGGUUCGGUCCCUGCCCUUGCUCAGUGGGUUAACGAUCCGGCGUUGCCGUGAGCUGUGGUGUAGGUUGCAGACGCGGCU